UACAGAGGUCCCAAGCGUUGUUCGGAUUCACUGGGCGUAAAGGGUGCGUAGGUGGUGGGGUAAGUCGGAUGUGAAAGCUCGGAGCUCAACUCCGAAAUGGCAUUGGAAACUACCCCGCUAGAGGGUCGGAGGGGGGACUGGAAUACUUGGUGUAGCAGUGAAAUGCGUAGAUAUCAAGUGGAACACCAGUGGCGAAGGCGAGUCCCUGGACGACUCCUGACACUGAGGCACGAAAGCUAGGGGAG
Molecule: ribosomal RNA, 245 nt
Filed under: uncultured bacterium
Lineage: Bacteria
Description: partial 16S ribosomal RNA
Rfam family: Bacterial small subunit ribosomal RNA
Source: RNAcentral